CACCAGACUCCUACGGGAGGCAGCAGUGGGGAAUAUUGGACAAUGGGGGGAACCCUGAUCUAGCGACGCCGCGUGAGUGAAGAAGUAUUUCGGUAUGUAAAGCUCUAUCAGCAGGGAAGAAAGAAAUGACGGUACCUGACUAAGAAGCCCCGGCUAACUACGUGCCAGCAGCCGCGGUAAUACGUAGGGGGCAAGCGUUAUCCGGAUUUAUUGGGUUUAAAGGGUGCGCAGGCGGCGUGUCAAGUCAGCGGUAAAAUGUCGGGGCUCAACCCCGGCCGGCCGUUGAAACUGGCGUGCUCGAGUUGGAGAGAAGUAUGCGGAAUUCGUGGUGUAGCGGUGAAAUGCAUAGAUAUCACGAAGAACCCCGAUUGCGAAGGCAGCAUACCGGCUCCACACUGACGCUGAGGCACGAAAGCGUGGGUAUCGAACAGGAUUAGAUACCCGCGUA
RNAcentral lists this ribosomal RNA (448 nucleotides) under uncultured bacterium. Its description in RNAcentral is "partial 16S ribosomal RNA". It matches the Rfam family "Bacterial small subunit ribosomal RNA", at positions 329 to 792 of the family's 1533-position model. The record is from RNAcentral.